CAGCUUAAUAGGACACCCUAGGUGUCACCUAAGCUGGACCAAAACACAUAAAAAUGGGGACGGAAACCAGUAAGGCUAAUUUGGAAGAAUUAAGAUGUCAAGAUUGGAGAAUCUUUGAAAAAGAGCCAGAAAAAUUACAAUUCCUCGAAUUAUGGGUAACUAAAUUUGGAUUCGAUGGCAGCCUAAGAACAAGCCAAUUAAAUAAACUACACGACUCCAUAAGCAUAAAAUAUGGGUGUCAAAUGAUUGAUGAAUGGAAAAAAGUAGCGAAAGCCAGAGAGGAUGGAGAAAGGAGGAGAAAAAAGGGAAGAACAAAUGGAGCUAGUGCAUUUUUUGCAGAAGGUGACAAUGAAAAUGAAGCCUUCUAUCAAAAUGCAAGAGGCAGAAGCAGAAGAGGAUUCAGAGGUAGAGGACAAGAUAGGCCCAGACCAGGAGGAGCAAAUCAAAGAGGGACAUGUUGCUGGGCGUGUGGAAAGGAGGGACAUAUAGCCCGCAGUUGCAAUAACAAAUCAAAGGGAGGAAGGCGUGAGCAGUCAGGACGAGAUCAAAAGCUAUAAGUAAAGACAACUUUAAUAAUAAUAAUAAUUAUAAUAAUAAUACUGAUAAUAAUGCAGAAAUGAAAGGUAGGAGAGGCAGUUAAAUAGGCAGAAAGGUUUAAUGCAGACUGCAAAUUUUUAGCAAGUUAAAUUCUCUGUACAGUCUCUGUUCUCUGCACAAAUGAUAAAAUGAUUCAUCACAUGCCAGUUACGACCUUGACUCCUCCAGAGACACAG
This is a non-coding RNA of Xyrichtys novacula (pearly razorfish), 773 nucleotides long. The record is from the annotation of a GenBank genome assembly. Lineage: Eukaryota; Metazoa; Chordata; Actinopteri; Labriformes; Labridae.